UUCAGGAGAUGUUUUACUGGAAAGUUGAUCAGAUGUUUUACUGGAAAGUCGAUCAGAUCUUUUACUGAAGGGGUUGAUCAGAUGUUUUACUGGAGGGUUGAUCAGAUGUUUUACUGAUGGGUUGAGCUGAUGUUUUUACUGGAUAAUUGAGAAGACAUUUUACUGAAGGGUUGAUCAGAUGUUUUACUGAAGGGCUGAGCAGAUGUUUUACUGAAGGGGUUGAUCAGAUGUUUUACUGAAGGGCUGAGCAGAUGUUUUACUGAAG
Astyanax mexicanus (Mexican tetra) is the source of this 265-nucleotide long non-coding RNA. RefSeq lists it as uncharacterized. NCBI's taxonomy places the organism in Eukaryota, Metazoa, Chordata, Actinopteri, Characiformes, Acestrorhamphidae. The transcript is spliced from 3 exons. The record is from RefSeq and is a predicted model, not a curated record.